Molecule: ribosomal RNA, 253 nt
Filed under: uncultured bacterium
Lineage: Bacteria
Description: partial 16S ribosomal RNA
Rfam family: Bacterial small subunit ribosomal RNA
Source: RNAcentral
UACGAAGGGGGCUAGCGUUGCUCGGAAUCACUGGGCGUAAAGCGCACGUAGGCGGCUUUCUAAGUCAGGGGUGAAAUCCUGGAGCUCAACUCCAGAACUGCCUUUGAUACUGGAGAGCUUGAGUCCGGGAGAGGUGAGUGGAACUCCGAGUGUAGAGGUGAAAUUCGUAGAUAUUCGGAAGAACACCAGUGGCGAAGGCGGCUCACUGGCCCGGUACUGACGCUGAAAUACGAAAGCGUGGGGAGCAAACAGG